GCUGGGCAUGGUGGCACAUGCCUGUAAUCCCAGCUUCUUGGGAGGCUGAGGCAGGAGAAUUGCUUGAACCCAGGAGGUGGAGGUUUCAGUGAACUGAGAUCACGCCACUGCAUUCCACCCUGGGCAAGAAAGCAAGACUCUGUCUUGA
This is an unclassified non-coding RNA of Macaca fascicularis (crab-eating macaque), 148 nucleotides long. It matches the Rfam family "Metazoan signal recognition particle RNA". From Rfam's summary of the family: The signal recognition particle (SRP) is a universally conserved ribonucleoprotein. It is involved in the co-translational targeting of proteins to membranes. Lineage: Eukaryota; Metazoa; Chordata; Mammalia; Primates; Cercopithecidae. The record is from Ensembl.